CCUACGGGAGGCAGCAGUGGGGAAUAUUGCACAAUGGGGGGAACCCUGAUGCAGCGACGCCGCGGGAGUGAAGAAGUAUUUCGGGAUGUAAAGCUCUAUCAGCAGGGAAGAAAAUGACGGUACCUGACUAAGAAGCCCCGGCUAACUACGUGCCAGCAGCCGCGGUAAUACGUAGGGGGCAAGCGUUAUCCGGAUUUACUGGGUGUAAAGGGAGCGUAGACGGUUCGGCAAGUCUGAAGUGAAAGCCCAAGGCUCACCCAUGGGACUGCUUUGGAAACUGUCAAACUGGAGUGCAGGAGAGGUUAGCGGUAUUCCUCUUGUCGCGGUGUCAUGCGUAGCUAUUAGGUGGCACCCCAGUGGCGCCGGCGGCUUCCUGGACUGUGCCUGACAUUGCUGCUCG
Molecule: ribosomal RNA, 400 nt
Filed under: uncultured bacterium
Lineage: Bacteria
Description: partial 16S ribosomal RNA
Rfam family: Bacterial small subunit ribosomal RNA
Source: RNAcentral